CACGCUGUAAACGAUGUGCACUAGAUGUAGGGGGUGUUGAUCCCCUCUGUGUCGCAGCUAACGCAUUAAGUGCACCGCCUGGGGAGUACGGUCGCAAGAUUAAAACUCAAAGGAAUUGACGGGGGCCCGCACAAGCGGUGGAGUAUGUGGUUUAAUUCGAUGCAACGCGAAGAACCUUACCUGGUCUUGACAUCCCGGAGACCCUUGGGAAACUAGGGGGUGCUUCCAUUAGGAAGAAUCUGGAGACAGGUGC
This 253-nucleotide ribosomal RNA is filed under the name uncultured Desulfobulbus sp. RNAcentral's name for it is "partial 16S ribosomal RNA". It matches the Rfam family "Bacterial small subunit ribosomal RNA", at positions 796 to 1041 of the family's 1533-position model. The record is from RNAcentral. Lineage: Bacteria; Pseudomonadati; Thermodesulfobacteriota; Desulfobulbia; Desulfobulbales; Desulfobulbaceae.